Molecule: transfer RNA, 90 nt
Filed under: Candidatus Saccharimonadota bacterium
Lineage: Bacteria; Candidatus Saccharimonadota
Description: tRNA-Ser
Rfam family: tRNA
About the family: Transfer RNA (tRNA) molecules are approximately 80 nucleotides in length. Their secondary structure includes four short double-helical elements and three loops (D, anti-codon, and T loops). Further hydrogen bonds mediate the characteristic L-shaped molecular structure. tRNAs have two regions of fundamental functional importance: the anti-codon, which is responsible for specific mRNA codon recognition, and the 3' end, to which the tRNAs corresponding amino acid is attached (by aminoacyl-tRNA synthetases). tRNAs cope with the degeneracy of the genetic code in two manners: having more than one tRNA (with a specific anti-codon) for a particular amino acid; and 'wobble' base-pairing, i.e. permitting non-standard base-pairing at the 3rd anti-codon position.
Source: RNAcentral
GGAGAGGUGCAGGAGUGGUUGAACUGGUCGCUCUCGAAAAGCGAUAGGCCCGCAAGGGUCUCGUGGGUUCGAAUCCCACCCUCUCCGCCA